CUUAAGCAUAUUACUAAGCGGAGGAAAAGAAACCAACGGGGAUUCCCAUAGUAACUGCGAGUGAAAGGGGAAAAGCCCAGCGCCGAAUCCCGCUGCUGGUGACGGUGGCGGGAACUGUGGCGUGAAGAUGGUGUCUAUCGGUGUGGCUCGCUCGCGUAAGUUCUCCUGAGUGAGGCUCCAUCCCAUGGAGGGUGCAAGGCCCGUGUCGUGAGCAGCCGUCGCCGAUGUGUGCUAUCAGAGAGUCGCCUUGUUUGCGAGUACAAGGUGAAGUCGGUGGUAAACUCCAUCGAAGGCUAAAUAUGACCACGAGUCCGAUAGCGAACAAGUACCGUGAGGGAAAAUUGAAAAGCACUUUGAAGAGAGAGCGAAACAGUGCGUGAAACCGCUCAGAGGCAAGCAGAUGGGGCCUCGAAGGCAAAGCCGCGAAUUCAGCCGGUGGUCCGGGCGGCGGGUGUGGUGUGAGAUCGUAAGACUCUACCGCGCCCGUGUCAGUUUGGCUGCUGGUGCACUUUCGCGGUUUGUACGCCACCGCCGUUAGGGCGCGUCCGUCGGCCUCGCGUGUGGAGCCUAGCUGUCCUCACGGGCAGUUGGUGCUCACGGUGGGUGCCGCGCGUGUUCGCGCUUUAACCGGUCAUAACCGUUUGCGCUGGGUUCUUGUGCUCCGGUYGGGCGUGCUGGCAUGACGAGCUUGCUCGGCUGUCUCGCGCUUGAUGGAAUCGCGGGGAUUUCAGCGUAGAUGAUUUGGUGGCGAGUAGACGGCUGCCCAUCUAACCCGUCUUGAAACACGGACCAAGGGAU
RNAcentral lists this ribosomal RNA (798 nucleotides) under Adropion greveni. RNAcentral's name for it is "partial large subunit ribosomal RNA". Lineage: Eukaryota; Metazoa; Tardigrada; Eutardigrada; Parachela; Hypsibiidae. The record is from RNAcentral.